RNAcentral lists this ribosomal RNA (235 nucleotides) under uncultured bacterium. Its description in RNAcentral is "partial 16S ribosomal RNA". It matches the Rfam family "Bacterial small subunit ribosomal RNA", at positions 99 to 334 of the family's 1533-position model. The record is from RNAcentral.
CGCACGGGUGAGUAACACGUAUCCAACCUGCCGUCUACUCUUGGACAGCCUUCUGAAAGGAAGAUUAAUACAAGGUGGCAUCAUGAGUCCGCAUGUUCACAUGAUUAAAGGUAUUCCGGUAGACGAUGGGGAUGCGUUCCAUUAGAUAGUAGGCGGGGUAACGGCCCACCUAGUCUUCGAUGGAUAGGGGUUCUGAGAGGAAGGUCCCCCACAUUGGAACUGAGACACGGUCCAA